UGUUAAUCUAAUGAGGAAGAAUUGGUAAAAGACAAAUUCUCUGAACGCUGCUGCUCCUGCAUCCUGCUGCUCCACCUGCUGUGGGGAGGAGGGACCACUCCCUGAUAUGCUGCAGAUGCAAUUGAGCAGCCGCUUCAUUCCACAUGUCCGCAGCACCUUUCAUGGGCUUUGCUUUCCAGUUUCUACUUGGCCUUCCAGUGUCAGACAGUUUCUUGCACCUGACCCAUCCAGCUGAGGAUACAGAUGUCAAAAAAAAUAAAAUAAAAUAAACAUAGAAUUCAAGAC
Rhinopithecus roxellana (golden snub-nosed monkey) is the source of this 285-nucleotide long non-coding RNA. RefSeq lists it as uncharacterized. The record is from RefSeq and is a predicted model, not a curated record. Lineage: Eukaryota; Metazoa; Chordata; Mammalia; Primates; Cercopithecidae. The transcript is spliced from 3 exons.